This is a non-coding RNA of Saimiri boliviensis boliviensis (Bolivian squirrel monkey), 819 nucleotides long. Lineage: Eukaryota; Metazoa; Chordata; Mammalia; Primates; Cebidae. The record is from RefSeq and is a predicted model, not a curated record.
UGCCGCUUCUCAUUUCUUGCAAGAGAAAGGCUGUGGCCCUGGUGUUCGAGGAGCCCCUUGUCUGAAGCAGCUGCUGCUCAUGAACAGACAUGCUCUGCACAGCAGCCCUCAUUCCUAGAGGGAAGCCUUGUCAUUGCUGUGAAGGAAAACGUUUAAUGCUGAAACCAGGGGCCACUUAGGCUUUUCCAGACUUGGCCUUUCUGAGAUACUGUAAUUAAAUGGAAGAGGGGGUGUGGAAAAGGAAAGUUCUACAAAUGGAAUGACACAGUUACAGAAGACUUAGACCUAAAUGACGAGCCCUGGAGUGUGAAUGCUUUGGCGAAGAAAAUAGAGCAAAAGUUUAUCAUCAAGGCUUCUUAAUGCCAUGCGGUAAAGCAAACACACACACUUGUGUACGCCAAAGUUACCGAAUGCCCGUGUGCUCUUCCACUGGAGUGGGUCUGAUGAGAACUCCCUGGGAUCACCAAAGAAGACUAUGUCCAGCAGGAAGCUGAGGGGGUCUCUAUGGACAUUGUGUCAUAAAAACCCAAACUGAAGCCCCAGCCAGCAUUGUGAGUCACUGCUGGACUUUGAGUGAGGCAUGGCUGGCAUCAGUCUCUUGAUGGCUCCAACAUCUCUACUGAGAAGUUUUCAUCUCUGAGCAAGGGAUUUCUGCCUGCAGAAACAUCAAUGAGGCUGCAGCUGUGUGCUCCCAGGCUAAGCAAAGGCUUCUGCUCACCGGUCUAUGGAAGAUACCAACAGCUGAUUCCUCCAUCGUCUCUCCUGUGGGGCCAACUCUGUGACAGUGGAGAAGAUAAAAGAAGCCAGGACCACCAGCCC